CACGCGGCGGUUGCAGUCGGUCCUCUCAAACCGCGAAAUACAUUCCGGCUCCCUCGAGGAAGAAAAUAUCCUGGGGGAGAGGAUCCGACUUUACAUCGGACAAGUGUAAGGAGGAAGAAAAAGGGUGAAAAGAAAAAAAAAACGAGGAAGAAGAAAAAGAAGAAGCAACGAAGGAGAAGGGGGAGGUGGCGGAGGAGGAGGAGGAAGAAGAAGAAGAGGAAGAGGAGAAAAAUAGAUUAGAAAACGCGAACAAAUUAGGAAUUCGAUCGAUUUUUAUUCGAAUAUAAUCGUUAUAACGAGGGGAAAAUACGCUCACACAGAAGUAGAUCUACGUGUUAAUUAAGAUAAUCCAAGAUAGGAAAAUGCGCUUGCGUCCAUUCCUAAAAAGAGACAAGAAAAAAAAAACAAGAAAAUAUCUCUUACGCUUCUUAGUCCGAAAUUUAUUCGGUGCGGAACAAUUAAAUCGUACGGUAUUAUCUUCUCGUUUAAUCGUGCAUCUCUAAUUAAUUCUUUAAAGCACGAAUACAAUCAAAGAUUCACAAUAUUAUACACGUAUACAUAAACACAUCUAUUGCACACACUAAUCGUAAAACGAGAAAAUCCGUUCGUUAGAAAUUUCGAAAUAUUUGUCAAUCGAUUCUUUUUAACAUCGUCGUCAUCUGUGACAACAACUUUUUGGGCCUUCGAUUCAACGAUUACGAGUAAUUUCGACCGAGAGAGAGAGAUAGAGAGAGAUAUAGAGAGAGAUA
RNAcentral lists this long non-coding RNA (749 nucleotides) under Polistes dominula (European paper wasp). RNAcentral's name for it is "uncharacterized LOC107067831, transcript variant X1". The record is from RNAcentral. Lineage: Eukaryota; Metazoa; Arthropoda; Insecta; Hymenoptera; Vespidae.